RNAcentral lists this ribosomal RNA (559 nucleotides) under Gammaproteobacteria bacterium. RNAcentral's name for it is "bacterial SSU rRNA". It matches the Rfam family "Bacterial small subunit ribosomal RNA", at positions 1 to 551 of the family's 1533-position model. Lineage: Bacteria; Pseudomonadati; Pseudomonadota; Gammaproteobacteria. The record is from RNAcentral.
AAACUGAAGAGUUUGAUCCUGGCUCAGAUUGAACGCUGGCGGAAUGCUUUACACAUGCAAGUCGAACGGCAGCACGGGAGCUUGCUCCUGGUGGCGAGUGGCGAACGGGUGAGUAAUACCUAGGAACAUGUCCAGUAAUGGGGGAUAACGCAGCGAAAGCUGUGCUAAUACCGCAUACGCCCUACGGGGGAAAGCGGGGGAUUCGUAAGAACCUCGCGUUAUUGGAGUGGCCUAGGCCUGAUUAGCUAGUUGGUGAGGUAAAGGCUCACCAAGGCGACGAUCAGUAGCUGGUCUGAGAGGAUGAUCAGCCACACUGGAACUGAGACACGGUCCAGACUCCUACGGGAGGCAGCAGUGGGGAAUUUUGGACAAUGGGGGAAACCCUGAUCCAGCCAUUCCGCGUGAGUGAAGAAGGCCUUCGGGUUGUAAAGCUCUUUCAGGAGGGAAGAAACGGUUUUGGAUAAUACUCAAGACUAAUGACGGUACCUUCAGAAGAAGCACCGGCUAACUACGUGCCAGCAGCCGCGGUAAUACGUAGGGUGCGAGCGUUAAUCGGAAU